This 482-nucleotide ribosomal RNA is filed under the name uncultured bacterium. Its description in RNAcentral is "partial 16S ribosomal RNA". It matches the Rfam family "Bacterial small subunit ribosomal RNA", at positions 30 to 507 of the family's 1533-position model. The record is from RNAcentral.
AUUGAACGCUGGCGGCAUGCCUUACACAUGCAAGUCGAACGGUAACGAGCCUUCGGGUGCCGACGAGUGGCGAACGGGUGAGUAAUACAUCGGAACGUGCCCGAUCGUGGGGGAUAACGAGGCGAAAGCUUUGCUAAUACCGCAUACGAUCUACGGAUGAAAGCAGGGGACCGCAAGGCCUUGCGCGGACGGAGCGGCCGAUGGCAGAUUAGGUAGUUGGUGGGAUAAAAGCUUACCAAGCCGACGAUCUGUAGCUGGUCUGAGAGGAUGAUCAGCCACACUGGGACUGAGACACGGCCCAGACUCCUACGGGAGGCAGCAGUGGGGAAUUUUGGACAAUGGGCGCAAGCCUGAUCCAGCCAUGCCGCGUGCAGGAUGAAGGCCUUCGGGUUGUAAGCUGCUUUUGUACGGAACGAAAAGCCUUCUUUUAAUACAGGAGGGUCAUGACGGUACCGUAAGAAUAAGCACCGGCUAACUACGUG